Long non-coding RNA from Oryzias sinensis (Chinese medaka), 5397 nucleotides. Lineage: Eukaryota; Metazoa; Chordata; Actinopteri; Beloniformes; Adrianichthyidae. The record is from Ensembl.
AAUUAUUUGUUGCAAACAAUUUCACAACAAGUUAAAGCCAUGUGACAAAUACUUGAAAAAAAAAGCUUUUUUUUCAAAAUGGCGACUUUUCUGUUGGUAUAUCUCCAUAGCAACCAUUUUAUGCUUGGGUUGCCUGGGGGUGUCGAACAAGUUGAUGUAAUUUUUGGAAGAAUUGGCAAGACUAAACAUUGAGAUUUCCUUGGCAACUGAGGUUUUUGUCAAACAUGCCCACAUUCCUGAUAUGUUCAUAGCGUAUGUCAUAUUGCUUUGUUUCGCUUUUCUGAGCUUGCCACACUAAGGCCAUUAAAAAUCUUCAACUUCUAACUGAAAACAAUUUUUUUAAGUAUCUUACCAAUAAUGCUCGAAGCGUUAGGAGGCGAUAGGCAAAAAUCCCUAGGAGGUGUUUCAAUUUGUAGCUGAUCCUCAUUUUUUUUUUUUUUUCAAUUCAAGAUAGUGGCCUAUUUUUGAGGAUGAAGAUCAACAAAACUUUGAUCGUGGACUAAUGCUGGCGGCAUGUGUGUGAAGCUCCAGAAAAAUCACAAUGUUUUUUUUUUUUUGUUGGGGGGGGGGGGGGGGGGGGGUUCACACUUUGUCACGAUCUCUGAUACAUGCGUUUUAACUUUUUUAAUUUCAUUUUCUUUACACGUCUCCUUCGUCACCAGAAAAGUGCCACACAAGCAUGUUAAAAACACCAAAAACACAUUUUUCAUCAGAGUGAAGGUCUUUAACUCAGCCAAAGAAGUUCAUCCUAAAUGAAUAUCUGCUCUGCAGUAGGAUUACUUGUCAGUUUGACAAAAUCUCAAUCCAGUGCAGCUGUACAGUAAAACGUAUUAAAGGAAAAGAGCAUGAAAAUGAGCCACUUUAGCUUUUGCAAGCAGUUUUUUUUCCCCUCAAGGAGAAAAACAAUUGUUCAGCUCUCCUUUUUUCCACGGUAAAACAGCACUGUCCAAAAAGCUUGCUGUUAUUAUCUGUAUGAUUAUUAUUUUAUUAACGUUAGUAUCAGAGCCUGCAGACUAUGCUGUAAACACAACAAUGAUACAUUAUGGCCUUGUGUUUUCAUAAAGUUUUUGCAAACAAAUACCUAAUUACGCAUGCUGCAGAUCCACACGGAAUUAUCACUCAUUUGGAGACCCAUUUCUGGCCAAUAUCCACUCACUUUUAGCUCGACUGCAGACUCCAAAACUCCUGAGGGAAAUAUCUGCCUCUUAAUCUGCUAAGUGCUGCAUUAUUAGCUACUCACUAAAUUUGUCUGGUGUUUGAUGGUGGGACGGUUCUUAGCAGAUUCUUUUUUUGUGGUUUGCGAGCUGGAAUAAGACUCUUUUACAUUGUUAGUUGUUGUAAUUUGUCAUUUUUCAGAUUUUAUGGGAUCUUCUUUGCAUUCACACCAAAUGUAGCUCAUGCAUGGACAUUUAUAGAUGCAACCGUAGCAUUUGAAAAAUAAUUAGACUUAGUUUUAUCUUGAUUAGUCCUUAACCUUAUUGUAGUUGUCCAACUUUGAGCAGUUUUCAUAAAAAGGUUUUAAAUCUAAAUUAUUCUGCAACUUUGAAACAUUCUUUUUUAUUUUUAGAAAUAUAUAGUAUUUGACCUAUAGUUUAAAAUACAAUUUUUCAUGCCUUCUGUCCCGGUGUUUGUGCUGAAUUGCUUUGGAAAUUAGCCUUGGACUUAAUAUACAUUCUGUAGGCCUUGAUGGGUUUCCUGCCUGGUUUGAAAUUAGUCUUUUUUUUCCAACAUUGGUUUCUAUUUGUUUGUCAUCCCGCUCCCAGCUUGUGUCUUGGUUUCAAUAGAAAGCAUCGAUCUACAGCUUUUCUAUUGGGAAAUAGGAACUGGUGCACUUGAUUUUCCUGUUUUGUCUUGCAUAAUUGCUUUUUCAAGCUUCCCCUGACUUGUAGAGACAGAGUCAGGGUUGUUAUCUCACAGAAAUGUGGAUCUUUUGAAGUUUUGUUUUUUUAACUUUGAAUAAUUUUAAAUAUAAGACCUGCAUGACAUUGCAUUUUACAUCCAGUCAAGUAAUAGAAAAAGGAAAAUUUAGUUUUUUGAGACUUUUUUUUUGGUUUAAAAAAGGUAGUCAGCCUAAAGCUUUACAAGCUGAAUUUCUGCAUGCUAAUUGAAGCCAUCUACCAAUAUUUCCAAGGGUUUGCUCUGCUUGUUCUAUUGUAAUGCAAACAGAAGGGCCAUGAGAGUGCAGAGGGAGUGGAUUUGAACAAUGAUGAGAGCACACGCAAUAAGACACAGGACAGCUGUCAGGGUGAGGGAGAGCUGAAUUACAGAUUACGGACUGGUUUUACCAAAACUGAGCUCAUGUGAAACAAACUGCAAUUCAGAUGACUGAUCCCCGUCUACAGCAACUAACACAGAAUCAUAUUUCAGGUCAAAGAAAUUCAGAUUUUACUUUCCUGUAAUAUUUUUGAGCUAUUUCUUUCGUUCUGUUUAUGCUGCCUGGGAUUUAGCUAAGCACAAAGUGUUUAUGCAACCACCUAAAUCCACUUGAAAUUUUUGAAAGGACACAUGUGCUUCACUUUAAAGAGCAGUCAUCUAAAAUCUAAUGGGCUGUGAAUGUUCUGCCUCAUUCGGUCUAUUAAUUGUUGCUUGAAGGGCUAAUGGUUGUUUCCUUACCAAUGCAUCGGCUGACAAUUAAUAUGAUUCAUUCCUAACUUGGUUUUAACCUCUAAAAUACUAGGAACAUUAAAAAUGGUUGCCCAGCAGAGUCUGGUCCUACUGCUUGAUUUGUUUUAAACAUGUUUUGGGGGCAUUUUUCUAAAAAUGGAGGAUAUAUAUUAGCAUUUCUGAGUAAAUCUUAAUUCAAAGGAUGAAUCCAAGCAGACAAAAAAAAAAUGCUGUUUGAAAAAAAGAUUGUAUUUGUGUUGUUGAAAAUACACUGGGUAGGUGUACAGCUGGAUAGCUCAAAUAUUGCUCGCCAUUUUUGCACAGGGAAUGAUAGGUUGCAGUUGUAAAGGAUGGUUAGCUGGCAGGGGAGCAUGAAAACAGAAAACUCUCAGUUAUGGGUGAGGGGAAGGUGGUCUCGUCAGUCGCUUCGCCCACAACUCGGAGGCGAUUGACGGGCGAUCAACAAAUUCUAGUAGCCACAAAAUGACCACAAGGUUUACUUGCCUGCGAACUCUUUAAAACCCAGGGUUAAUAAUUGCAGCAAAGCUGAACACGUGUUUUUACACAAUGAGGAAAAAGCCAAGCCAGACUGCUCUGCGUCUAAGCCAGCACACCUAACCUCUCAGUGCUCGAAAAACACAGAAAAGGCUUUUAUUGGUGCAAAGCUUCUCCCUGCUGCCAAGUUUUCCUUGUGCUGUGGCUUAGCCCAAAAGCGGCGUAAAGGAUGCAUGCGUCUUUUUAUUUUAUUUUCAGCCUCCUGCCUCCGUUUGUUUCCUCCUCCAGUACAUCAUUCCUUUGGGUGUUUGUGCGGUGUCCCCUAGUUACUGGAUGAGAGACCAUGCAGCUCAGAGAGUUAAAAGCCUGCCCUGUCCCACUCAUAGGAACAAGACCAUCAAUAAUUCACCUUCAUCGGGAAGCAUUAUCUAACAGCCUUAUAAAAUUUUAAAGAUUGUGGGUGACAACAUGGAACCAUGAAGAAAGUGCUUCGUAAGAGAACACUCCAGGUAGCAGCAAUGCUGGAAACAGAUAUAUGAAAGUGGAGCCUGCAGUGACUGGUUACCGAUAAAAAAGACAGACACCUCUUUGAGGUAAAAGACGGCCUGCUCUUUGUUUCUGCACGCCGUCUGCGUGGCCGGAGGUGCAGACGUUUGCUCGGCUGUAUUAGCGCCCAGGCUCAUUCUCACUGACAAUAAAAUCCCUCUAAACCAAGAUCAAUUACUCCCAGCUCUGCUGUAAUUAAAAUGUCCUAACAAAGGUCUGAGGACAGAAACCGACCCAUUGAAAAUAAGAUCAGUCAGAUCCCGAGUGAUAUCCGCAAGAAACAAAAAGAAGGGGGGGCAACGAGCCCAUAAAACAGCAGCGUCUACGCAUGACUGUGUGGUUUAAACCAAUUCUGCUUCAUCCUGCAACAAGGUCAAGAAAUGUUUUAGGUUAAAGCACAAGCGGCCACAUGAAACCCAGAUAUGUUGCUGUUUUUAAUCAGCGCCGAAUAAAACACUCAUUCAUCUAUACAAUAAAAAAAAAACUCAGUUCAUUACUGCAGCCACAGCUACUAAGGCAUCAAAUUAUUAUUUUUUUUGUGAUCUGAUGCUUGACUAUGCUCUAUAGAAGAAUGACAGAAUGCUUAUGAGACUCCUAAUUAAAACUCAGCAGUGGAGUGAUUAGCAAUCACAACUGCACUCUUCAAAUAUCAAGAUCUGAUUUGGUUGGCUGAUCAACAACAAGGUUCCUUCUCUCGCUGCAACACACAGAGCACGCACUCCCUUUUUCGCCACACUAAAGAUGCCUUUGAAGUGGCGGAAAUCAGCACAACUCUGCAAGAAAAGGCCCAGCUGAGUUUCCACUUCUAUGUUGGCUUUUUUACUUUUCCCUUUUUUUAUUCCUCUCUGCCAGAGUGCCAUUUAUGUUGCAACACUUUUCUUUGGUUUAAUGCUGCCAGUGAUCACUAAACAGAUUAUACGCUGACACUGAUGAACGCUUCACCGUUUCAGUUUCUGCAGGACGAUUCAUCAUAGUAUUACGCUAAAGUAUAAAACAUCAAUAAUAUUACUUAUGGCAACUACCAAAAUGAGACCUGAAGGCUGCUCCCUUGUAGCACCGACAGGAGACUAUCCCAGACAUCAAGAGCGAGCAAGAUGGCUGACUUUACUGACACACAGUGAAAGCACGCUCCAUCCUGGGUAAUAGAUUCUUUUUUGUACUGCGACUCCUCUUCCUCCUUAUCCUCAGUGACAAUGCCUGCCAGUCAAAGCCCAGGGAACGUUCAAGGGCUUUUACAACAUCUCCUCACCUUGAAAAUAGAUUGGCUUCAUCACAAGGUACCGACUGACAACAAAUAGACAUCAAAUGGCUAUUAGGAAUGGCAGCCCAAUAGCCUGCAGAUUACAGGUGUUCUUGUGUGUUUUUUUUCUGCAUCUUCUUAAUGCACACAACAGCUCUGCAAAACUGGCAUUUGAAGCAUUCUCUCUAUACAUAAAGACACAACAAGAACCAGAUGCCGUGGGAGGUGACAUUUAAGUGUUGCAUGAGAGUGCUAAACGCAGAAGGGUUUUAUGAUUAUUGGAAAGACUCUGCAGAAAACUAGGGUGAGUGAAGGGGGCCUCAAUGUAGUGUUUAAUUCAACCUUUAAAGCUGUUUUGCAAGUGGCAAAAUGUGUCUGUGUCGUUCACAUGGAAGCACUUAAUAGAAAAAGCGAGGCUGUCCAUCACGUGCAACAGCCCUGCAGAUUACUCAUUUAGACGAUAAAAGAUGAGUGCAGGCCUGUGCCAGUUCCUUUAUUUUCAAUUCAUUGAG